This is a long non-coding RNA of Telopea speciosissima, 1117 nucleotides long. RefSeq lists it as uncharacterized. The transcript is spliced from 2 exons. NCBI's taxonomy places the organism in Eukaryota, Viridiplantae, Streptophyta, Magnoliopsida, Proteales, Proteaceae. The record is from RefSeq and is a predicted model, not a curated record.
CAAUCUAGAUUCAUUUCAAUAGGAACAAAAAUUCAACCGAUUCAAUUGACUAGUGACUAGAAAGGAUAUAACAAGAACAAAGGUAGGUGUUAGUAAAUACAUCGAACUAAAAACAUUUUCAUUUAAAUAUAGAUGAAAUAAGACAGCUUAUUUCUUAUUAAUUUUGAUUUAUUUGGAUUUCUAAUUCUAAGUAUUUUUUUUCACUGAAUCUGACGCGCCAUAGCAAUUGCACCUAUUAAAGCAACUAAAAGAAUUAUAGAAAUGAGUUCAAAUGGAAGAAAAAAAUUUGUUGAUAAAUGAAUCCCAAUUUGUUGACCAUUACUUAUCAAGUCCUGUUCUAUAAUCUGGUUUGAUCUUGUAGUCCAAAUAACCCCGUACCAUGAUGUGUCUAGGAUAGUAGUAAUUAGUGAAACAAAAAUACUUGUACAAACCAGUGAAGUGACACCAUCUCCAACAGUCCAAAGAUGGAAAUCGUUGUAAUAUUCUGAACCAUUCAUGAACAUCACAGCAAAUAUGAUUAAGACAUUUAUGGCUCCCACAUAAAUAAGGAGCUGUGCAGCAGCUACAAAAUGGGAGUUCGAUGGAAUAUAGAAUAAGGAUAUACAAACAAGAACCAAUCCCAAUGAAAAGGCAGAAAAAAUGGGAUUGGUAAGUAAUACUACUCCCAGACCCCCUAGUAUAAGGCCUGAUCCCAGAAAUACUAAAAGAAAAUCAUGUAUUUGCCCAGGUAAAUCCAUUAUAUAUUAUUUAUAUGUAAAAUAAGAAAUAAAUAAGUCGAAAUCUUUCAUGACCUUAUUGACCUGACCGGACCGGGAAAAAAUAAAUUACCCUAUUUAUAUUUUAUAUAAUUUAUAUAAUACGUUUACGCUCCUAAUUGAAUUAAAUUCUAAUGGGUGUGAAUUGAUGUAGAUACUCUUAGAUGUAUAUACUGUUAUUGGACAAAUUCCAUUCUAUAUCCGAAUCUGAAAGACAAGACGAAAUUUGAUGUUUCGAACUCAUCACGGUAUAUGAAUCAAUUUUCAAUUCAAAUUAAGACGUGAUUCUCACCAAUCAAUAGCUAGGAUUUUUAGUUAUUGACCAAGCAAAAUGAAAGAAGCCUCCCCCCUUUAGAUCAAAA